Molecule: long non-coding RNA, 1397 nt
Organism: Quercus lobata
Lineage: Eukaryota; Viridiplantae; Streptophyta; Magnoliopsida; Fagales; Fagaceae
Exons: 3
Source: RefSeq, a predicted model, not a curated record
CCCAAAUCCAUCAAAGAUCUUCACAGCAACUCUUCUUCUUCUUCCUCCACUACGCCACGACCCAAGUCCUUCUCAGUUCUAACAAUGGAGAAAGUGGGUUCGAAAGUUAAAAUUUCCUGAUUUAUUAUUAGCUCCAGGGUUCAUACAGCAGAGAUGCUUAAUCUGUUGUCGAUGUUACUGAUACCAUGAGCCUUCCAAAAAAGCUCGCGCACUCGACGACUCCGAGGGGAGCAUUAGUGAAAAUGUACUUUUAAGGGGAUCUGGACUCUUACUUGGGACAGACCAAAUGGAAGUUUUACACUUUUUUAGGCCCCAAUUUAGGUGGACAAUUUCUCAAAUAUCAUUAUGAAGAUGGGAAUUGUACUUAUCUUUGGCAGGCUAGUUGGCAUCUUGGUCCUCUGUUGCUUAAAUAUGUACCUCGGAUCAGCAAUGAUAGUCAGUACUGUGAAUGGAAAGGUCUCAUCAGCUCACAAUGGAGGAAACUAAAGUUGGCAGCUAGCAGGGUUUGUGGCUUUGGUUCAUAUUCAGGGCAAGUGUUUUGAGGCAAACCUUGAUCAAAAUGUAGCAGAAAAUGUCAAUUGAGAACUACAAAAUCAGGAAAAUUUGAAUGUGGGGGACAUCAUGGAAUGCUAUUAGAUUUAUUCCACCCAAAGUUUUAGCUGUUCUAGCUUACCAACUAUUCUAACUAAUAGACUUUGUUCCAUUUCUUCAAUACGAAAGGCAUAAUGUGCUAAAGUUCUUGCCCCACUGUUGGCCCUUUUUGAGAUUAAUUGCCAUUGCCAUUGCCAUUGCAAAUUCGUGAACAGCAUGGCACAUCCUCUGCCCUCUUCCAACGAGUUUCCAAAAGAUGAAAGACAUGGUGAUCUUGAGAGCAUAUGGCAUUGGCGUGACUCUGAAUAUGACCUUCGGCAAUUAUCACUCUUAAUCCCAUCGUAGCAGUCCAUCUCAACCCCAUAACCAAUGCCGCGGCAAGAGCUUCAGUCUCAGAGUUUGUUGCUCUUUUCUUGGUACUCGAAGUCUUCUCUGAUGCAAAUUUUCCAUGGUUGGUAAUGAGUAAGUACAAGCUCAACAUAACAAAUGUUUGCACUCAUUGGGAAUGUUCAGUUUCCAUAGGACUCUUCACCCAAAUAACUCGGUGCUCAGAAGAAGAUAAAUUUUCCACAAGCACAACCAAUAUAUUUAUUUACCCUAUCUCUUGUAUCAAAGAGUUGUUGUAAAAGUGAGACCAUUCCACCAACGAGUAUCAUGGUCCAAAUAAAUCUCGAACCACCACAAUUUGUUCAGCACUAUGACGUGUUGUUUCUUGAACAUUUGUAUUGUAUAGUUUUGUAUUUAUGGUGCACACGUGAUAUGCUAAAAGGUUUAUUCAAUGUCAAUACUAUUGAAUUGUAGUUAAA